UGGGGAAUAUUGCACAAUGGGGGAAACCCUGAUGCAGCGACGCCGCGUGAGCGAUGAAGGAAUUCGUUUCGUAAAGCUCUGUCCUAGGGGAAGAUAAUGACAGUACCCUUGGAGGAAGCCCCGGCUAAAUACGUGCCAGCAGCCGCGGUAAUACGUAUGGGGCGAGCGUUGUCCGGAAUUAUUGGGCGUAAAGGGUACGUAGGCGGUUUCAUAAGUCAGAUGUAAAAGCGUGGGGCUCAACCCCAUAAAGCAUUUGAAACUGUGGAACUUGAGUAGUGGAGAGGAAAGUGGAAUUCCUAGUGUAGCGGUGAAAUGCGUAGAUAUUAGGAGGAAUACCAGUGGCGAAGGCGACUUUCUGGACACAAACUGACGCUGAGGUACGAAAGCAUGGGGAGCAAAC
This 400-nucleotide ribosomal RNA is filed under the name uncultured bacterium. RNAcentral describes it as "bacterial SSU rRNA". It matches the Rfam family "Bacterial small subunit ribosomal RNA", at positions 355 to 773 of the family's 1533-position model. The record is from RNAcentral.